RNAcentral lists this ribosomal RNA (626 nucleotides) under Escherichia coli. Its description in RNAcentral is "bacterial SSU rRNA". It matches the Rfam family "Bacterial small subunit ribosomal RNA", at positions 153 to 774 of the family's 1533-position model. Lineage: Bacteria; Pseudomonadati; Pseudomonadota; Gammaproteobacteria; Enterobacterales; Enterobacteriaceae. The record is from RNAcentral.
GAAACGGUAGCUAAUACCGCAUAACGUCGCAAGACCAAAGAGGGGGACCUUCGGGCCUCUUGCCAUCGGAUGUGCCCAGAUGGGAUUAGCUAGUAGGUGGGGUAAAGGCUCACCUAGGCGACGAUCCCUAGCUGGUCUGAGAGGAUGACCAGCCACACUGGAACUGAGACACGGUCCAGACUCCUACGGGAGGCAGCAGUGGGGAAUAUUGCACAAUGGGCGCAAGCCUGAUGCAGCCAUGCCGCGUGUAUGAAGAAGGCCUUCGGGUUGUAAAGUACUUUCAGCGGGGAGGAAGGGAGUAAAGUUAAUACCUUUGCUCAUUGACGUUACCCGCAGAAGAAGCACCGGCUAACUCCGUGCCAGCAGCCGCGGUAAUACGGAGGGUGCAAGCGUUAAUCGGAAUUACUGGGCGUAAAGCGCACGCAGGCGGUUUGUUAAGUCAGAUGUGAAAUCCCCGGGCUCAACCUGGGAACUGCAUCUGAUACUGGCAAGCUUGAGUCUCGUAGAGGGGGGUAGAAUUCCAGGUGUAGCGGUGAAAUGCGUAGAGAUCUGGAGGAAUACCGGUGGCGAAGGCGGCCCCCUGGACGAAGACUGACGCUCAGGUGCGAAAGCGUGGGGAGCAAACA